GAGUUUGAUCAUGGCUCAGAUUGAACGCUGGCGGCAGGCCUAACACAUGCAAGUCGAGCGGCAGCACGGGGAGCUUGCUCCCUGGUGGCGAGCGGCGGACGGGUGAGUAAUGCAUGGGAAUCUGCCCGGUAGUGGGGAAUAACCCGGGGAAACCCGGGCUAAUACCGCAUACGUCCUACGGGAGAAAGCAGGGGAUCUUCGGACCUUGCGCUAUCGGAUGAGCCCAUGUCGGAUUAGCUUGCUGGUGAGGUAACGGCUCACCAGGGCGACGAUCCGUAGCUGGUCUGAGAGGAUGAUCAGCCACACCGGGACUGAGACACGGCCCGGACUCCUACGGGAGGCAGCAGUGGGGAAUAUUGGACAAUGGGGGAAACCCUGAUCCAGCCAUGCCGCGUGUGUGAAGAAGGCUUUCGGGUUGUAAAGCACUUUCAGCGGGGAAGAAGGCAUGGCGGCUAAUACCCGCCAUGAAGGACAUCACUCGCAGAAGAAGCACCGGCUAACUCCGUGCCAGCAGCCGCGGUAAUACGGAGGGUGCAAGCGUUAAUCGGAAUUACUGGGCGUAAAGGGCGCGUAGGCGGCCUGCCAAGCCGGAUGUGAAAGCCCCGGGCUCAACCCGGGAACGGCAUUCGGAACUGGCAGGCUAGAGUGCAGGAGAGGAAGGUGGAAUUCCCGGUGUAGCGGUGAAAUGCGUAGAGAUCGGGAGGAAUACCAGUGGCGAAGGCGGCCUUCUGGACUGACACUGACGCUGAGGCGCGAAAGCGUGGGUAGCAAACAGGAUUAGAUACCCUGGUAGUCCACGCCGUAAACGAUGUCGACCAGCCGUUGGACCCCCUGAGGGUCUGGUGGCGCAGUUAACGCAAUAAGU
This 865-nucleotide ribosomal RNA is filed under the name uncultured bacterium. RNAcentral's name for it is "bacterial SSU rRNA". It matches the Rfam family "Bacterial small subunit ribosomal RNA", at positions 9 to 865 of the family's 1533-position model. The record is from RNAcentral.